RNAcentral lists this unclassified non-coding RNA (256 nucleotides) under uncultured bacterium. Its description in RNAcentral is "partial contains 16S ribosomal RNA and 16S-23S ribosomal RNA intergenic spacer region". It matches the Rfam family "Bacterial small subunit ribosomal RNA", at positions 70 to 324 of the family's 1533-position model. The record is from RNAcentral.
CGAUUUGGGAAACUGGAGCGUUAGUGGCAAACGGGUGAGUAACACGUGGGUGACCUACCUCAAAGUGGGGAACAACAGACCGAAAGGUUUGCUAAUACCGCAUUAGUUCGGUGAUUCAGUUUGCCGAAUAAAGCCCCCUUCGGGAGGCGCUUUGAGAGGGGCCCGCGUCCCAUCAGGUAGUUGGUGAGGUAAUGGCCCACCAAGCCGAUGACGGGUAGCUGUUCUGAGAGGAAGAUGGGCCACAAUGGAACUUAGA